RNAcentral lists this ribosomal RNA (1530 nucleotides) under Escherichia coli. RNAcentral's name for it is "bacterial SSU rRNA". It matches the Rfam family "Bacterial small subunit ribosomal RNA". The record is from RNAcentral. Lineage: Bacteria; Pseudomonadati; Pseudomonadota; Gammaproteobacteria; Enterobacterales; Enterobacteriaceae.
AGAGUUUGAUCAUGGCUCAGAUUGAACGCUGGCGGCAGGCCUAACACAUGCAAGUCGAACGGUAACAGGAAGAAGCUUGCUGCUUCGCUGACGAGUGGCGGACGGGUGAGUAAUGUCUGGGAAACUGCCUGAUGGAGGGGGAUAACUACUGGAAACGGUAGCUAAUACCGCAUAACGUCGCAAGACCAAAGAGGGGGACCUUCGGGCCUCUUGCCAUCGGAUGUGCCCAGAUGGGAUUAGCUUGUUGGUGGGGUAACGGCUCACCAAGGCGACGAUCCCUAGCUGGUCUGAGAGGAUGACCAGCCACACUGGAACUGAGACACGGUCCAGACUCCUACGGGAGGCAGCAGUGGGGAAUAUUGCACAAUGGGCGCAAGCCUGAUGCAGCCAUGCCGCGUGUAUGAAGAAGGCCUUCGGGUUGUAAAGUACUUUCAGCGGGGAGGAAGGGAGUAAAGUUAAUACCUUUGCUCAUUGACGUUACCCGCAGAAGAAGCACCGGCUAACUCCGUGCCAGCAGCCGCGGUAAUACGGAGGGUGCAAGCGUUAAUCGGAAUUACUGGGCGUAAAGCGCACGCAGGCGGUUUGUUAAGUCAGAUGUGAAAUCCCCGGGCUCAACCUGGGAACUGCAUCUGAUACUGGCAAGCUUGAGUCUCGUAGAGGGGGGUAGAAUUCCAGGUGUAGCGGUGAAAUGCGUAGAGAUCUGGAGGAAUACCGGUGGCGAAGGCGGCCCCCUGGACGAAGACUGACGCUCAGGUGCGAAAGCGUGGGGAGCAAACAGGAUUAGAUACCCUGGUAGUCCACGCCGUAAACGAUGUCGACUUGGAGGUUGUGCCCUUGAGGCGUGGCUUCCGGAGCUAACGCGUUAAGUCGACCGCCUGGGGAGUACGGCCGCAAGGUUAAAACUCAAAUGAAUUGACGGGGGCCCGCACAAGCGGUGGAGCAUGUGGUUUAAUUCGAUGCAACGCGAAGAACCUUACCUGGUCUUGACAUCCACAGAACUUUCCAGAGAUGGAUUGGUGCCUUCGGGAACUGUGAGACAGGUGCUGCAUGGCUGUCGUCAGCUCGUGUUGUGAAAUGUUGGGUUAAGUCCCGCAACGAGCGCAACCCUUAUCCUUUGUUGCCAGCGGUCCGGCCGGGAACUCAAAGGAGACUGCCAGUGAUAAACUGGAGGAAGGUGGGGAUGACGUCAAGUCAUCAUGGCCCUUACGACCAGGGCUACACACGUGCUACAAUGGCGCAUACAAAGAGAAGCGACCUCGCGAGAGCAAGCGGACCUCAUAAAGUGCGUCGUAGUCCGGAUUGGAGUCUGCAACUCGACUCCAUGAAGUCGGAAUCGCUAGUAAUCGUGGAUCAGAAUGCCACGGUGAAUACGUUCCCGGGCCUUGUACACACCGCCCGUCACACCAUGGGAGUGGGUUGCAAAAGAAGUAGGUAGCUUAACCUUCGGGAGGGCGCUUACCACUUUGUGAUUCAUGACUGGGGUGAAGUCGUAACAAGGUAACCGUAGGGGAACCUGCGGUUGGAUCACCU